UUGCAAAUGGAUCUUACAGACGUUGUCACAGAGACAAGAAAAGCAUAUAAAAAAAUAAAUAAAGAUGAGCUCCUUUCAAGGUGACUGACUAGAAGCAGCUGGUGUGUGCUGCUCUCACAAAGAGAAGAAAGAGUGGUGAGUGGACCAUCCAGGUGGACACAUUGGGAUUCAUCAAGGAAACAAUACACAGAAAACAGAAGAAUGAGACAGGACAAUCAUUCACCCAGAAGUGGCAUAGAGCCGGGAGAUGGCCCUCACCAUGGUUAGUAAGUGAGAGUCCCCAGGGAGUCACAUUUCUGCCACAGACCUUUGCAACCCUGGGCCCAGGCGAUCCCCCAUGACACCCGUGCCCCACCAGGGCCUCUGGACUGACA
RNAcentral lists this long non-coding RNA (374 nucleotides) under Homo sapiens (human). RNAcentral's name for it is "non-protein coding LINC02334:17". The record is from RNAcentral. Lineage: Eukaryota; Metazoa; Chordata; Mammalia; Primates; Hominidae.